Globicephala melas (long-finned pilot whale) is the source of this 5461-nucleotide long non-coding RNA. RefSeq lists it as uncharacterized. Lineage: Eukaryota; Metazoa; Chordata; Mammalia; Artiodactyla; Delphinidae. The record is from RefSeq and is a predicted model, not a curated record.
UCAGCUAUUUAGGACAGAAACAUCCAAGGCCGUGUUAGAACUCAAUUACGACUACAUAUGCGUUAAAGCAGGAACUGGCAGGCCUCUGGACCACAGCAACUAUAGGACUCGGGCUUCUCGUACGCUGGGCUAUAAUUUAUGAAACUGAGCCCCAGAUCCAGCCAAUCAUUUAGCUCCUCAUAACAAGUCUAACUGGCUCUGGAAGGCUGAAAGGGCUGCACUAGAACAACAAAGAUGAGAUAUUCCACAUAACACUCAGCUGAUCUGGAAUCACUUUCUUUGCAGGGCCAGAGAAAAAUCACCACUUCACUGUCUGAGGGAAGCAGGACAGAGGACCUGGGAAAUGCAACCUCACCCUGGAGCAAGAUCUUUUAUGGUUUGGCAAUCCCAACAGUGCUGGCCUUAAAGAUCCCACCUACCGCUGGAACCCGGAGGGCAACUAUAGCAGCAGAAACCCGAAGUACUGCUGCCUAUGGUAACUAUGUGAGAAUUGAAACUUCUGAGGGAAGCCAGGUUGUUAAAACUGUGAUUCCCUUUACUCAACGGUAACACGGAUGAUCUAGCCUGAAAGGGAAAGCAAGCUCUUAAGAUAAGAAGAAAAUCCCUGAAAAUGUAACAGAUGGCCACAAUCCUCCUUCAUGUAUGAUAUGUGGAUAACAUAUAAGCGCUCAAAAGGCAAUUGCUGGACGGUACUGCAGAUCAAGUUUUCCCAAAUUGCAGGCUAUGUGUUUAGUGGGUUACAAACAGCCUGACUUUCAAUCAGAUAGAAAUCAUCAAAGUGGAUCUUGCACGGGUCCAUGAUUUUAUAGUAGAUGAGAUCUGUUCAGGCCAGCCACCAUUUCCUCUCCUUCCUGUCAGCAUCCUGCAGACCACAACCACCACCAGAAAAGCAAUGUGGUUUUGGGGAGAAGAAAUCACGAGAUACCUGAAGACAAAAGACUGAAGAUUCAGGCCCAGAAUUGUUAUUAACUGAGAGACUUUGGCCAAGUCACUACAGUUCACUGAAACCUCAGUCUUACCUUCUGUAAAGUGGGGAUUAUAAUAGCCACCUCACAGAGUGCUCUGAAGGAGGAAAUAAGAUAAUAAAAGUGAACAUAAUUUUGAAUUAUAAACAGAGAAAGAGGAAAAGAGGAGAGAGGAGGGGAGGAAAAGCUGAAAAAUUCAGCUUCCCUCACCCUUUUGCACUAGCAGGUAAAAUAAAGUGUUCAGACAGGAAACCUGAACAAGAUAAUCCAAAAUAUAAUAUUCUUAGGCACUGGUGAAGGGAGAAGCUACUGUAAUCGCCAAAUCUGGUCAAGAGCGCAGUCUGAGCAGCAUGUUUUUUACCCCUUGAGUGCACUAAAGCUUUGGGACUGACCUGCAGGAAAAGACCAGAAGCUUUCCUCAUUUCAUUCCCUAUAGUAGAAAGACAAGAGCAGCUGAAGGACAAAUGUCAAGAGUGGGGUGAGGCAAACACCUCAGGCCAUGAACUUACUUUAUCCCUUUGGUAGAUCGCCUUCGGGAGAAAAUUCCAGCUUUGUGUUUUCUGCUUGGCCCCAUUCAAAUGGGAAGUUCUGCUCAGAGGCCUGAAAUAGAAAACAGGAAGUCAACAGAACUGAUUUUCCUAAUUCCUCAAAUGCAAAUCACUGCACUUGCUGUGGAUGAGAACUACCAUGAGGUGUAAACCUCCUUUCUAAAAGGAGGUCACAUGCCAAUUAUGUACAGAAAAUAUCCUACUCCAGGGUAAAAAGGAAUGUUCCAUCAGCUUUCUUCCUAAAUGAAGGAGGGAAGCAGAGCGGGAUUGACAGUAAAGACGAUCAAGGGUGUUGCCAUCAGAACCAAACUGCCACUAAAAAUAAUGAAGUGUCCCACUUGAUGCUCAGACACUAUUCUCUUAGCUGCUGCUUCUACAGUCACUUUUCUGUAGCUACUUCUCAAGGGGACAGUUAUUAAAAUGGCUCCCCUCCCAACUUCCUCAUUAUGUUUCACCAGUAUCAGUAUUUUCUUAGAGGCCCGUGUUUGAAACUUGCAAGUUGAAACUCCAAGCCCCACCCCUGCACCUGCCCCUUUAGUCAGUUUCCAUGGCAGACCUUCAGUUCCAUCUCAUUUACAUCAGACACUAAUUCAGCUAGUUCUCCUAUCACAGCUCGACUCUGGUUUGCCACACCCGGUCAUUUCCUCAGCCAUCUCUGGUCUAAAUCCUUAACGCUCCAGCCUUUCUGCCUCCCCUCCUUCACAAGACUGCCAGAUGAGUCUUUCCAGAAUCUCUCCAGCAGACAGUCCCCUCACAUUACUCCCUGGCCCCAAGGUCUGCCACAGCUUCCUAAUACCUACUGAUCAAGUCUAAAUGACUCACAAGUGGUCUCACCAUAGCUAUCUCGCUUAGCGUGUUACAGCAGAGAGUGCCUGAGCCUCGGCUCCAGAUGGAUUGGGUAAGAAUCUCUCUUAGGUGAGCUUUACCACUACGUGGCUGUGUGAAUCUGAGCAAAUUAUGAAACCUCUCUGCCCUUCAGUUUCCUCAUUUGUGGAAUGAAGAUAAUUACACCCACCUACAUAGUUAUUAAGGGACUAAGUGGGAUACUACAUACAAAGUGGUCACAGUGGGUUCCAAUAAGAAGAGUAACUAGUGCUUAUGGAGUGCUUUCUACAUCCCGGGCUCUGUUCUGAGCGCCACACAUGUGUUUGUGCAGGUAUGACCAUUAUCCUCAUUUUGCAGAAGAGGAAAUUGAGGCAAGAGAAAGUGAAGUCACUGAAACCACAUAAUGAAUCAAUAGAAGAGCCAGCGUUUGCACUCAAGCAGUCUGACUCCAGAGCCUGUAAACUCAACUCCGGGCUCUACCACUUCCCUUCGAGGCCACUUCCCCUUCCCUGCAGCUUUCACUGGCUGACACAACCCACAAGUGCACCCCAGUCCUUCCCAUCUGUCCAGUCUCCCCUGAUGGAUGCUGUGCUGCAUUUCCCCUCCAAUCUCACCUGAUAUCUUGAAAGAAGCAGUUACUAUAUUUUCUGUAUACUCAGUAUACCAUCUCUUCACUCUUUUUUAUCUUGCCCUCGCUUAUAUAUCGGCUUGUAAUUCUUCACUUCUUUCUACCUUCUGUUUCUAGAAAGUGCAUCCGAAAAAUAAACAUCCCCAAAUUCCAGAGUGUCCCAAAAGAAUGUUAUUUCCACCAACACCCCAGCUGUCAUUACUAACCCAAAUCUCCUAAGUCCCAGUCACUUACCCAACAAACAUUUACCAAGCAUCUGCUGUGUUCAUGUCGGUAGAUGCAGAUUACAUGGGCCCUGUCCUCUAGGAGCUCGCAGACUAACGAGGAGAUGAGUGUUUAUGUAGAAAAUGUUAAUAAGUUGUGACAAGUAUGAAACACACCCUGUUAAUGGCCUCUCCACCUUUGGCCCUUCCAGCUUUUGCACUUCCCAUGUCGUGUCAUUCACGCAGGCCGACACACCGCCCCUUCCUUUUCGUCUCUGCAGCCACCCCAUGGUUUACUUCCUCCCUACGUGAUUCCUGAGCUAUUGCAGUCACCUCCCAACUUAUCUGACUGCCUCAUCCUCCUGCCCCUCAAAAGCAGCCCGCCUGCUGCUGCCAAACAACCUCUGUUGUCACUCCCAUAUUUGAAAACCAUGAAGGUUAAUGAGGCAAGUGCAGGCCCCUGAGCCUGAACAGGCAAAGCUGCUUAGGAACUUAGCCAACUUCCUAUCCUGAUUUGCUCCACACCCCUCCACAUCCAAACACUUCACCUCACGCACCACACCUAAGAGACACUUCUUACAGGUCUUCAAAAACGAGUCCCCUUCCUGUUUCCCAUUGUUCCCUUUGCCCUCCCAAUCUAUCGGCUCAUUUUUGUUUCUGAAAUUCAGAUGCUCCUCCAGGAUUCAGGUCAAGUCACCUCCUCCAUGAAGCUUCCUCUCAUUCUCCCACAAUGUAUGAUAUAGUUCCGUUCUCUGACUUGCUUUCGUCAUGCAUUUGUGUCUCCUUUAGGGCACUUUAAUUCUAUCUUGCAUUCCAGUCAUUAGCAGUUUUAAUCUUACGGUCUCUGUCUUUAGGACAGUAUUUGUCUUUGUCGUCUUCAUUCAAUACAGCUCCUAGCAGAUUGCCUCAAGCAUAACACGUGCUGAAUAAAUAAUGAAUAUGCUCUUUGAUUUUUUGUAUGUGAUGUAGUGGGAGAAACCUCAUGAGGACCCAAGAAGAAGCCUAAGUUCUUUCUCUCUUAUUAUUAUCAUCUCAUCUUUUAUCCAACAAAUCUUUUUUCAUCCCUAGGCAAUAUGCUAGGCACUCAGGGUACAAAAAUAAAGACACAGAAGCCUGCACCCAAUAAACACAUAUUUUCUAUCAGAAAGAUUGACACAUAAUACAAAUAAAAUAAUAAGAUACAUGAAAAAUCAUAUGAAUUGCAAAAUUAUGCCAGUUCUACCGCUAACUAGGUAUGUGACCUUGGGAAAGUCACUUAUUCCGUGAGGUAAGUGUUGAUAAGUAAAAAAUGCAAACUCAGAGGCGGCCUACGAAUUUAUGAUUCUAACUCACAACUUUUUAAAAAGUGACUCAACACAAAGACUGGUUAUCAUUCAUGUAACGGUAGGAGAAUGAGGCCAUAGAGGCAAAUGCAGAUGGUGCUAGCCCAAGCUCUCUUCAGGUGAAAAGGAGUCUUGACCAGCAGAUGUUGAGUUUACCUCUCUUGGCCAAGGCUGUUCUAAGAUAGAGGUGAAUUCCCACUUUACCCCAAGCACAAAAUAUACAAGUCAUUUAAUGGACUCCUCUAGCUCUGAUUCUGUGCUCAUGCAGCCUGGUUACUGACUGGUUUGCUAUCAGGUCCGUCUCUUGGAAUAGAAUAUGGUGGUCAAGCGGAUGAGUAUUUUGGUUUCUGGGAGUCUUGUCUUUUUCAUUGCAAAUUAGUAUGUCAUUCUCAUUGACACAUCAGUCUCGUUAGCUGAUUAAUAGGAGUCCUCACCUAAGAAGCAGAUACCCUCUCAGUGAACCCAACAAAUCAAGUUUCUGGGCUGAAAGGCUCAGGUAUAAACCUUAGACCUUAGAAAAUUCUACGACAAAGGCACCUUGCAGAGGUUUCAGAAAGACAGCCGGGGGUGCCCUUCUCUUAGAGACUUACAUCCCCAAACACACAUGCCACAUACCUUUUCUCCAAACUCUUCUAGGUGGUACUUAGAGGUAAGGACCAGGUUUUCUUUUCCUUGUGCAGCGUGUAGCCUAGUCAGAAAAAAUGCCCUGGUGGGCAUAAGAGAUGCUUUCCUCCGGGCUCCCAUGUUCUACCACUAGUAUUUACUACAUGGGAAUGCCUUGCAUCCCCCCUCUCUGAUGUGGGCAAUGUGUUCUUUCCACUCCUCUCUGUAUCCCCCCGACCUGGUGCUUGGCAUGUCAAAGGCAUUCAAUAAAUGCUUGUGAGGGAGACGCAAGAGGGAAGAGAUAUGGGAACAUAUGUAUAUGUAUAACUGAUUCACUUUGUUAUAAAGCAGAAACUAACACACCAUU